Molecule: ribosomal RNA, 445 nt
Filed under: uncultured bacterium
Lineage: Bacteria
Description: partial 16S ribosomal RNA
Rfam family: Bacterial small subunit ribosomal RNA
Source: RNAcentral
ACCAGACUCCUACGGGAGGCAGCAGUGGGGGAUAUUGCACAAUGGGGGGAACCCUGAUGCAGCGACGCCGCGUGGGUGAAGAAGCGCCUCGGCGCGUAAAGCCCUGUCAGCAGGGAAGAAAAUGACGGUACCUGAAGAAGAAGCCCCGGCUAACUACGUGCCAGCAGCCGCGGUAAUACGUAGGGGGCAAGCGUUAUCCGGAUUUACUGGGUGUAAAGGAGGCGCAGACGGCGAUGCAAGCCAGGAGUGAAAGCCCGGGGCCCAACCCCGGGACUGCUCUUGGAACUGCGUGGCUGGAGUGCAGGAGGGGCAGGCGGAAUUCCUGGUGUAGCGGUGAAAUGCGUAGAUAUCAGGAGGAACACCGGUGGCGAAGGCGGCCUGCUGGACUGCAACUGACGUUGAGGCCCGAAAGCGUGGGGAGCAAACAGGAUUAGAUACCCCGGUA